AUCGUGUAGAACCUUUACUUAGACUAAUCUGGGAUUCAAUCGUAUCUAGCUGGCUUGAAUUCAAUUGCAAUAACACAGAACCCCUAAUUUCAUGAGUUGUGUUGCAAUUAUUCAGAAACACAGUACAUUGGUAAUGGAUAUUAGGUGGCGUGAAAGUAAAACGAAACUCAAGUAGGAUCAGAUGAAUCAAGAGUCUUUUCUUAAUGAACUAGCAGAAGAGUUUAGAUUGCCAAUUACACAAGGCCACACAGGGUUACGGAAAACGUUGAUGUUGAGGAUGUGGAGCAAGCUUCACUAGACACGAAGAUAUCAUCAUCAUACGUCGGGUUUCGUCUUCUUGAGGAGAUGGGGUGGAAAGCCAAAGGCCUCGGCAAGCAAGAGCAAUGUUUUUUGAAAGACCAGACCGAUUUAUUAAAAAAUCGUUUCGUUUAGAACCUGAUUUUUAGAACACCUGUUUAGAGUGUUUAGAACUGCUACUUCAAAGUUGAUCAUUUGUUUUUUACUGUUUGCUUCAGGCAUAACGGAGCCUAUAAAGUCUGGUAUCAGGGACCGGAGACUCGGUUUUAGGAAAGCAAGAAGAGGAUGAUUAUUUCACUGCAGAGGAGAAUAAGCUUGAUAUUGAGAUCGAGGAGACUGAGGAAAGCGCAAAGAAACGGGAGGACGAUGAACCCUUGUUCUUGUUUUAUGUAGCGGUUCAAAGAUAUGAAAGAAAUGCUCGGUGCAAGCAGCCGAGACCAUAGGAAGAAACGAGAGCAGCAGCGUCAAGAGAGGGGGGAUGACUAAAAUGGCUGAUGCUCGUAAACAACAGCAGAUGCAACAGAACAAGCAAGAGGAAGACCCAGAGAACGUCCCAGCUUCAUCACCGGCUAAGACCACUGUUAUUGAAGUUUGGCUUUUCUAUCAAAGAGCGGCAGUAUAUCAAAGAGUAGAGCAAACAACAAGCAGCCUAAAUUAGCAAUUGCAUCGAUUUUUGGCCACGAUAGCAACGAAGAUUAAAGUUGUUACAUCUUGAUUCAACAACAUUGUACUUUAUGUGAUUCUAUUUUUAUGUUUUUUUUUAAACAGAACAUAAUCUGCAACAAAAUUACCGUCUUUCAAGUCUUUGGCUAUAAAUCCAUCUGACCGUUAAAAACAACCGUUAAAGGUUAAAUUGCCACUCCCACUGUUUGGAAACCACCGCCUACUCAAUGGACUAAAUGUAAUAUAGAUGGUUCAUGGACCCAUAAAGAAGGAAGAGGCGGCAUUGGUUGGAUUAGUAGAGAUCAGGAUGGCAAGGUGUUAUUCGGCAGGGGCUACAGAUUGGGAUCCGCUAUAGAAGCUGGAGCACUCAGAUGGGCAGUAUCAAUAAUGACUGGUUUUGGAUAUCGAAAUCUUGUUGUUGAGUCUCACUCGCAGGUGCUGGUCCGGAUGAUCAAAGGUGAGAGAGAGAGGAUAUGUGGCCUAUACUAAAACCAAUCAUCCAGGACAUAACCCAUUCUUUGAUAUCAUUCCGAGAUUAUCUGAUAUCAUAUUA
Long non-coding RNA from Brassica oleracea var. oleracea, 1513 nucleotides. RefSeq lists it as uncharacterized. The record is from RefSeq and is a predicted model, not a curated record. The transcript has 4 exons. NCBI's taxonomy places the organism in Eukaryota, Viridiplantae, Streptophyta, Magnoliopsida, Brassicales, Brassicaceae.